CCAGCGCCGGCGUGCCGAGCAGCAGCGUCAGCGCCAUGAUUUUCCAGCCGUACACGUCCAUCCCCAGCAGCAGCGC
RNAcentral lists this transfer RNA (76 nucleotides) under Salmonella sp. FORC89. Its description in RNAcentral is "tRNA-Trp". The record is from RNAcentral. Lineage: Bacteria; Pseudomonadati; Pseudomonadota; Gammaproteobacteria; Enterobacterales; Enterobacteriaceae.